Melanotaenia boesemani (Boeseman's rainbowfish) is the source of this 376-nucleotide non-coding RNA. NCBI's taxonomy places the organism in Eukaryota, Metazoa, Chordata, Actinopteri, Atheriniformes, Melanotaeniidae. The record is from the annotation of a RefSeq genome assembly.
UGAACACACCAGCAGCACAAUGAUGAUGUCACUGACUCUACUGCUGACCACCCUGGGGCUCCUUGUUCAGGGUUCAUCAGGAGAGACCAUCCUGACUCAGACUCCUGGAUCUCAGUCUGUUGUUGCAGAACAGACUGUCUCCAUCAAAUGUAAAACCAGUGUUAGCACCAGCUAUCUUCACUGGUAUCUUCAGAAACCAGGAGAAGCUCCUAAACUCCUGAUAUAUGCAGCUUCAAAUCGUCAGUCUGGAAUUCCGAGUCGUUUCAGUGGAAGUGGAUCUGGUUCUGACUUCACUCUGACCAUCAGUGGAGUUCAGGCUGAAGAUUCAGGAGUUUAUUACUGUCAGCAGAGUGGCAGCUUCCCGUUCACACAGUGA